UUCAGUGAAAUGACUCCUAGUCGAGUUAAUGGUAAGGGUGGGGCUUAAUUUUGAUCUUUGAGGAUCUAUGUGAAAAGAGGAAAAGAAGGGGCGUGUAGCUUCCAAGAAGCAAAGGAACCAAAAUGAGCUCAACUCAGCUCCAUCAAUCAGCUUCCCAACUCAGACCCUGGAUGCAUCAGACAUUCCAAUAUCAGCCAAGCCCAGGUGACAGGUGACAAAACUGGAGAGGAUCUGGAAAAACCAAUAUCAAUGUUAUUGGGAUCACAGCAACCAAUGUAAGCAAACAGGCUUUACAAGUUUGGGGGUCCUGGGGCUCCUGGUGCCCUCUGUAUUCCAGAGACAUCAUAC
Non-coding RNA from Phascolarctos cinereus (koala), 348 nucleotides. NCBI's taxonomy places the organism in Eukaryota, Metazoa, Chordata, Mammalia, Diprotodontia, Phascolarctidae. The record is from RefSeq and is a predicted model, not a curated record.